This 492-nucleotide ribosomal RNA is filed under the name uncultured bacterium. Its description in RNAcentral is "partial 16S ribosomal RNA". It matches the Rfam family "Bacterial small subunit ribosomal RNA", at positions 29 to 507 of the family's 1533-position model. The record is from RNAcentral.
AGUGAACGCUGGCGGUAGGCCUAACACAUGCAAGUCGAACGGCAGCACAGUAAGAGCUUGCUCUUACGGGUGGCGAGUGGCGGACGAGUGAGGAAUACAUCGGAAUCUACUUUUUCGUGGGGGAUAACGUAGGGAAACUUACGCUAAUACCGCAUACGACCUACGGGUGAAAGCAGGGGAUCUUCGGACCUUGCGCGAUUGAAUGAGCCGAUGUCGGAUUAGCUAGUUGGCGGGGUAAAGGCCCACCAAGGCGACGAUCCGUAGCUGGUCUGAGAGGAUGAUCAGCCACACUGGAACUGAGACACGGUCCAGACUCCUACGGGAGGCGGCAGUGGGGAAUAUUGGACAAUGGGCGCAAGCCUGAUCCAGCCAUACCGCGUGGGUGAAGAAGGCCUUCGGGUUGUAAAGCCCUUUUGUUGGGAAAGAAAAGCAGCAGGUUAAUACCCCGCUGUUCUGACGGUACCCAAAGAAUAAGCACCGGCUAACUUCGUG